RNAcentral lists this ribosomal RNA (366 nucleotides) under uncultured bacterium. RNAcentral's name for it is "partial 16S ribosomal RNA". It matches the Rfam family "Bacterial small subunit ribosomal RNA", at positions 338 to 696 of the family's 1533-position model. The record is from RNAcentral.
CCUACGGGAGGCAGCAGUAGGGAAUCUUCCACAAUGGGCGCAAGCCUGAUGGAGCAACACCGCGUGAGGGAAGAAGGGUUUCGGCUCGUAAAGCCCUGUUGUUGGAGAAGAACGUGCGUGAGAGUAACUGUUCACGCAGUGACGGUAUCCUACCAGAAAGUCACGGCUAACUACGUGCCAGCAGCCGCGGUAAUACGGAGGUGGCAAGCAUUAUCCGGAUUUGGUGGGCGUAAAGCGAGCGAAGGCGGUUGCGUAGGUCUGAUGUGAAAGCCUUCGGCUUAACCGAAGAAGUGCAUUGGAAACCGGGCGUCUUGAGUACAGGAGAGGACAGUGGAACUCCAUGUGUAGCGGUAGAAUGCGUAGAGA